This 468-nucleotide ribosomal RNA is filed under the name uncultured bacterium. RNAcentral describes it as "partial 16S ribosomal RNA". It matches the Rfam family "Bacterial small subunit ribosomal RNA", at positions 28 to 507 of the family's 1533-position model. The record is from RNAcentral.
GACGAACGCUGGCGGCGUGCUUAACACAUGCAAGUCGAACGGAAAGGCCCUGCUUUUGUGGGGUGCUCGAGUGGCGAACGGGUGAGUAACACGUGAGUAACCUGCCCUUGACUUUGGGAUAACUUCAGGAAACUGGGGCUAAUACCGGAUAGGAGCUCCUGCUGCAUGGUGGGGGUUGGAAAGUUUCGGCGGUUGGGGAUGGACUCGCGGCUUAUCAGCUUGUUGGUGGGGUAGUGGCUUACCAAGGCUUUGACGGGUAGCCGGCCUGAGAGGGUGACCGGGCCACAUUGGACCUGGGAAACGGCCCGGACUCCACCGGAGGCAGCAGUGGGGAAUAUUGCACAAUGGGCGGAAGCCUGAUGCAGCAACGCCGCGUGCGGGAUGACGGCCUUCGGGUUGUAAACCGCUUUCGCCUGUGACGAAGCGUGAGUGACGGUAAUGGGUAAAGAAGCACCGGCUAACUACGUG